Molecule: ribosomal RNA, 257 nt
Filed under: uncultured Hymenogaster
Lineage: Eukaryota; Fungi; Basidiomycota; Agaricomycetes; Agaricales; Hymenogastraceae
Description: 5.8S ribosomal RNA
Rfam family: 5.8S ribosomal RNA (bases 2-155)
About the family: 5.8S ribosomal RNA (5.8S rRNA) is a component of the large subunit of the eukaryotic ribosome. It is transcribed by RNA polymerase I as part of the 45S precursor that also contains 18S and 28S rRNA.
Source: RNAcentral
CAACUUUCAGCAACGGAUCUCUUGGCUCUCGCAUCGAUGAAGAACGCAGCGAAAUGCGAUAAGUAAUGUGAAUUGCAGAAUUCAGUGAAUCAUCGAAUCUUUGAACGCACCUUGCGCUCCUUGGUAUUCCGAGGAGCAUGCCUGUUUGAGUGUCAUUAAAUUCUCAACCUUAUCAGUUUAUUUCUGAUAGUGGCUUGGAUGGUGGGGGUGCUGGCUCCUUUAUUGAGGUCAGCUCCCCUUAAAUGCAUUAGCUGGUG